AUGUGUGUGUGUAUGUGAGGUGUGUGUGUAUGUGAGUGUGUAUGUGAGGUGUGUGUGUAUGUGAGGUGUGUGUGUAUGUGAGGUGUGUGUGUAUGUGAGUGUGUGUGUGAGGUGUGUGUGUGUGAGGUGUGUGUGUAUGUGAGGUGUGUGUAUGUGAGUGUGUAUGUGAGGUGUGUGUGUAUGUGUAUGUGAGGUGUGUGUGUAUGUGAGGUGUGUGUGUGUGAGAGUGUGUAUGUGAGGUGUGUGUGUAUGUGAGGUGUGUGUGUGUGAGGUGUAUGUGAGGUGUGUGUGAGUGUGUGUGUAUGUGAGGUGUGUGUGAGGUGUGUGUGUAUGUGAGGUGUGUGUGAGAGUGUGUGUGUAUGUGAGGUGUGUGUGAGGUGUGUGUGUAUGUGAGGUGUGUGUGUGAGUGUGUAUGUGAGGUGUAUGUGAGGUGUGUGUGUGUGUAUGUGAGGUGUGUGUGUGUGAGUGUGAGUGUGUAUGUGAGGUGUAUGUGAGGUGUGUGUGUGUGAGUGUGUAUGUGAGGUGUGUGUGUAUGUGAGGUGUGUGUGUGUGAGUGUGUAUGUGAGGUGUAUGUGAGGUGUGUGUGUGUGAGUGUGUAUGUGAGGUGUGUGUGUGAGUGUGUAUGUGAGGUGUGUGUGUGUGAGUGUGUAUGUGAGGUGUGUGUGUAUGUGAGGUGUGUGUGUGUGAGUGUGUAUGUGAGGUGUAUGUGAGGUGUGUGUGUGUGAGUGUGUAUGUGAGGUGUGUGUGUGUGAGUGUGUAUGUGAGGUGUGUGUCAGCAGAAACACUGAAAGGGAAUCAGACAAGCGGCAUCUAAAGCACUUCUGCUGGGUGACUCUGAGCUGUUUUAGUGCAAACACAAUAAAAACACAUUUGCAGUUACAGUGUUGAGUGAGAACAUGAACUUCAUAUCGUCCAAAACUAACAUCAAACACCCGAGACAACAAACUACUAAUGGAUUGCUAAUAUUUUUCAUCAUAAUCAUCUUGAGAUAUAUAUAUAUUCUGUACAGUCUUUUCAUCUGUGACACUGAUUGUUUAAUGGGAAACUUUGCUGAAUAAAGAAGAUUAAAGUGUUGGAGCUCAAAUGAAGACUUUAGAGUUGAUUGUUUUGCUGAUGAACACAAACUAUACAACAAAUGUUCCUAUGAUCUUAAUUUGAGUGUUGUGUGUCGUUGCUACAUUGUUUUUAUUUGUUAGUUAUUUACUUUGAUCGUUCUACAAUCAAGUCUCAAACGGUUGAACCAGCAGCUUACAGCUACAUUUACAUAUGCACAUGAUUGUAAUCACGGUCUAAUAUCUGAACACCGUUAGUCAAAACAAUUACACAAAACUGAACAUUUGUAAGAUCUUGUGAGAUGAUGUUUUUGGCCUAACUCACUAUGUACAAUGCAGCAUUUGUAGUUUAUCGGCAGUGUACACUACAUUAACACAAAUAUACUGUGUCGAAACAUCUUUUCAAACUCAAAAUGCAUUAUUUAAAUAUCAGGGACGCAAGGACAUUUUGUACUCACAAAUAUGUGCAAAUAAGUUAUUUGCUCUCAAGAAAACCAGAAUGUUCCUGUGACAAAAGCUUCUGCUGCUAGUUCAGAAUGACAGGAGAUGUUUGUGUAAAAGCGCUGCUAGUUCGCUAGCUGGUACUGUGCAUAGAGAUGUCUAUAUGACGAGUGAGGGGAUCCGUUUCACACUCGUUAUAAUGUCCAGAUCUCACUAAACAUUCUCCGAUUCAUUUUCUGCGGUUCAGUGCAAAUGAGUGAAUCAACAUUAAACACCUGAUGUCAGGUAAAUGUGUGGCUGUGCUCUAUUAAAGGGUUCGUUCACCCCAAAAUGAACAUUAUCCCAUAAUUGACUUGCCCUCAAGACAU
Molecule: long non-coding RNA, 1861 nt
Organism: Xyrauchen texanus (razorback sucker)
Lineage: Eukaryota; Metazoa; Chordata; Actinopteri; Cypriniformes; Catostomidae
Exons: 3
Source: RefSeq, a predicted model, not a curated record